GACGAACGCUGGCGGCGUGCCUAAUACAUGCAAGUCGAACGCUUCUUUCCUCCCGAGUGCUUGCACUCAAUUGGAAAGAGGAGUGGCGGACGGGUGAGUAACACGUGGGUAACCUACCCAUCAGAGGGGGAUGACACUUGGAAACAGGUGCUAAUACCGCAUAACAGUUUAUGCCGCAUGGCAUAAGAGUGAAAGGCGCUUUCGGGUGUCGCUGAUGGAUGGACCCGCGGUGCAUUAGCUAGUUGGUGAGGUAACGGCUCACCAAGGCCACGAUGCAUAGCCGACCUGAGAGGGUGAUCGGCCACACUGGGACUGAGACACGGCCCAGACUCCUACGGGAGGCAGCAGUAGGGAAUCUUCGGCAAUGGACGAAAGUCUGACCGAGCAACGCCGCGUGAGUGAAGAAGGUGUUCGGAUCGUAAAACUCUGUUGUUAGAGAAGAACAAGGACGUUAGUAACUGAACGUCCCCUGACGGUAUCUAACCAGAAAGCCACGGCUAACUACGUG
This 508-nucleotide ribosomal RNA is filed under the name uncultured bacterium. Its description in RNAcentral is "partial 16S ribosomal RNA". It matches the Rfam family "Bacterial small subunit ribosomal RNA", at positions 28 to 507 of the family's 1533-position model. The record is from RNAcentral.